AUUGAACGCUGGCGGAAUGCUUUACACAUGCAAGUCGAACGGCAGCACGGACUUCGGUCUGGUGGCGAGUGGCGAACGGGUGAGUAAUAUAUCGGAACGUGCCCAAUCGUGGGGGAUAACGCAGCGAAAGCUGUGCUAAUACCGCAUACGAUCUACGGAUGAAAGCGGGGGAUCGCAAGACCUCGCGCGAGAGGAGCGGCCGAUGCCGGAUUAGCUAGUUGGUGGGGUAAUGGCCUACCAAGGCGACGAUCCGUAGCUGGUCUGAGAGGACGACCAGCCACACUGGGACUGAGACACGGCCCAGACUCCUACGGGAGGCAGCAGUGGGGAAUUUUGGACAAUGGGCGCAAGCCUGAUCCAGCCAUGCCGCGUGUGUGAAGAAGGCCUCGGUUGUAAGCACUUCGGUACGGAACGAAAUACGCGCGCAUGAACAUUGCGCGUGGAUGACGGUACCGUAAGAAGAAGCACCGGCUAACUACGUG
RNAcentral lists this ribosomal RNA (482 nucleotides) under uncultured bacterium. RNAcentral's name for it is "bacterial SSU rRNA". It matches the Rfam family "Bacterial small subunit ribosomal RNA", at positions 29 to 507 of the family's 1533-position model. The record is from RNAcentral.